RNAcentral lists this ribosomal RNA (443 nucleotides) under uncultured bacterium. RNAcentral's name for it is "partial 16S ribosomal RNA". It matches the Rfam family "Bacterial small subunit ribosomal RNA", at positions 338 to 795 of the family's 1533-position model. The record is from RNAcentral.
CCUACGGGCGGCAGCAGUGGGGAAUAUUGCACAAUGGGGGGAACCCUGAUGCAGCAACGCCGCGUGAAGGAAGACGGUUUUCGGCUUGUAAACUUCCAUCUAUAGGGAAGAAAGAAAUGACGGUACCUACAUACGAAGCCCCGGCUAACUACGUGCCAGCAGCCGCGGUAAUACGUAGGGGGCAAUCGUUCUCCGGAAUUACUGGGUGUAAAGGGAGAGUAGGCGGCAAGGUAAGCGAUAUGGGAAAGCCUUAGGCUUAACCUGAGGAGUGCAUAACGAACUGGCUAGCUAGAGUACAGGAGAGGAAAGCGGAAUUCCUAGUGGAGCGGUGAAAUGCGUAGAUAUUAGGAAGAACACCAGGGGCGAAGGCAGCUUUCUGGACUGAAACUGACGCUGAGGCUCGAAAGCGUGGGGAGCGAACAGGAUUAGAUACCCUUGUAGUC